GACGAAAGAAGCGAAAAUAACCAUGCAACGAAAACUCAGCAGCCGUCACAUGCAAAUGAUUGCGCUUGGCGGUACCAUCGGCGUUGGCCUUUUCAUGGGAGC
RNAcentral lists this ribosomal RNA (102 nucleotides) under Lacticaseibacillus paracasei. Lineage: Bacteria; Bacillati; Bacillota; Bacilli; Lactobacillales; Lactobacillaceae. The record is from RNAcentral.